UCUCUACAUUGAGCCAUGGCG
This 21-nucleotide non-coding RNA is filed under the name Arabidopsis thaliana (thale cress). The record is from RNAcentral. Lineage: Eukaryota; Viridiplantae; Streptophyta; Magnoliopsida; Brassicales; Brassicaceae.